AUGGCCAGAAAGAGGAGGGAACUGGAUUCCGACAAGCCUCUCCCGGCGGAGCUUCCUGAAGCCCCGAGCAGAGAGGUUGAUGGGAGUAACUCCACUUCGCUUGGUGUGCAGCACCCUCCCGCCGAACUACCAGUUCAUGCGGUUGAGAUAUGUGCUCCCACGAACGAGGAGGUGCCGUUGAUCCUUGUUGUUGAGCCCCAGGCUCCAACUUGGGCACGACACAUAGUCCAUUACCUUCAAACAGGAGAACUUCUCGAAGAGCAAGAAGAAGCUGAAAGAGUAGCCCGAAGGGCUAGUACGUAUCAGUUUGUCGAGAACACACUGUACAGAAGGAGGCCCAACAGUGUGAAAUUGAAGUGCAUUUGCCAGGAAGAGGGGAAGGAACUGUUGGCAGAAAUACACAAAGGCAUGUGCGGCUCUCAUAUUGGAUCAAGAGCCUUGGUUGGAAAAGCUUUCCGACAAGGUUUCUAUUAG
Molecule: ribosomal RNA, 474 nt
Filed under: Triticum aestivum (bread wheat)
Lineage: Eukaryota; Viridiplantae; Streptophyta; Magnoliopsida; Poales; Poaceae
Description: partial small subunit ribosomal RNA
Source: RNAcentral